This 986-nucleotide long non-coding RNA is filed under the name Marmota monax (woodchuck). The record is from RNAcentral. Lineage: Eukaryota; Metazoa; Chordata; Mammalia; Rodentia; Sciuridae.
AUAGCCUCAGUGAUGUAGAGAAAAUGAAAUAGAGAGAGAGAGAGAGAGUGUGUGUGUGUGUGUGUGUGUGUGUCCCCAUGGAGGCAAGGAGGGGCAGGAAGCAGAGGAGCUCAGGAAAACUUCCCCGAGAAAGUGAUGGUUGUGCACAGAACUGAAGAUGUGAGCGAGAAAUGGGUGGGAAGGAGGAGAGUGGAGAGGUUGGAGCUGUGGCAGCCCAGGCAGGGGAAGCUGAAUUAGAGCAGGUACGGAGGGAGGCAGAGGAUGUAAGGCCCAGGAGGGGAGGAGAGGGAGGCUCAGGUGUAGAGCCUGGAGGCCCAGCAGGGCUUGACCCUGGCUGGAGAGACCUCUGCAGAGUGUCUAAUGGAUGUCGCAUGAUCUGCCCUGAGCUUUCACACUCUGGCUGCUGACUUAGGAUGAGCGUGGACAAGGAGGACAGGUUCUUGGGAAGCCACUCAGAGUGGCGAGCCACAGUGACCCGUGGGGGUGAUGAGGAGUUGCUGGAGCAGGUCGUUUUUGAAGGUCCACAUACAGACAGGAUGUGCGAGAGACAGGAGUUUGGAGAGAUUCAAGAUUUGAGGUUUGAGAAACUGGGAAGAUAGGGUUGCCCUCCACUGCAAUGGGGAGGAUCAGAGAGGAGUCCGCUGCCGGCAGGACUGAGAACAAGGGGCUAAUUCAGGACAGGCUGCUGGGCAUCCUACUGACACUCAGGAAAUGUCCAGGAGAUGGUCAGAUGUAGGUGUCUGCCGUGGAGAGAAGACCCUGAUGGACGCACGGAUAAACUGAAUCUCACUGAAGAAUGGCUUUUUCAGCCUCCAGUGGACGACGUUGCCACAGACGGGUCAGCUGAAAGCCAGCAGGUGUGACCUGCAGUGUCCAAGUGCACGUGAUUGGGUCAAACAGGGGUGACUGCAUGCCACAGGCUACAGACGGGCAGGCAAGAUGAGCUCUCAAAGUGAUGAUGGGGUUCCAUUGUGGGGACCUGGGUG